RNAcentral lists this ribosomal RNA (497 nucleotides) under uncultured bacterium. RNAcentral's name for it is "partial 16S ribosomal RNA". It matches the Rfam family "Bacterial small subunit ribosomal RNA", at positions 28 to 507 of the family's 1533-position model. The record is from RNAcentral.
GAUGAACGCUGGCGGCGUGCCUAAUACAUGCAAGUCGAGCGAACAGACGAGGAGCUUGCUCCUCUGACGUUAGCGGCGGACGGGUGAGUAACACGUGGAUAACCUACCUAUAAGACGGGGAUAACUUCGGGAAACCGGAGCUAAUACCGGAUAAUAUAUUGAACCGCAUGGUUCAAUAGUGAAAGACGGUUUUGCUGUCACUUAUAGAUGGAUCCGCGCCGCAUUAGCUAGUUGGUAAGGUAACGGCUUACCAAGGCAACGAUGCGUAGCCGACCUGAGAGGGUGAUCGGCCACACUGGAACUGAGACACGGUCCAGACUCCUACGGGAGGCAGCAGUAGGGAAUCUUCCGCAAAGGGCGAAAGCCUGACGGAGCAACGCCGCGUGAGUGAUGAAGGUCUUCGGAUCGUAAAACUCUGUUAUUAGGGAAGAACAAAUGUGUAAGUAACUAUGCACGUCUUGACGGUACCUAAUCAGAAAGCCACGGCUAACUACGUG